CGCGCCGAACGGUAACGCUCGCGCGGUGUCCAAUGCCCUGAUCUUGAUUAGAGCGGACGCCCCGUUUGUGCACACCCAAAGCGCGCYAUUCUCACAUUCGACCUCGGGGGUGCUGGAUCACGCACUGAACUUAAGCAUAUCAUUAAGUGCAGGAAAAGAAACC
RNAcentral lists this ribosomal RNA (163 nucleotides) under Chthamalus challengeri. RNAcentral's name for it is "partial 28S rRNA". Lineage: Eukaryota; Metazoa; Arthropoda; Thecostraca; Balanomorpha; Chthamalidae. The record is from RNAcentral.